RNAcentral lists this ribosomal RNA (492 nucleotides) under uncultured bacterium. Its description in RNAcentral is "partial 16S ribosomal RNA". It matches the Rfam family "Bacterial small subunit ribosomal RNA", at positions 29 to 507 of the family's 1533-position model. The record is from RNAcentral.
AGUGAACGCUGGCGGUAGGCCUAACACAUGCAAGUCGAACGGCAGCACAGUAGGAGCUUGCUCUUACGGGUGGCGAGUGGCGGACGGGUGAGGAAUACAUCGGAAUCUACUUUUUCGUGGGGGAUAACGUAGGGAAACUUACGCUAAUACCGCAUACGACCUACGGGUGAAAGCAGGGGAUCUUCGGACCUUGCGCGAUUGAAUGAGCCGAUGUCGGAUUAGCUAGUUGGCGGGGUAAAGGCCCACCAAGGCGACGAUCCGUAGCUGGUCUGAGAGGAUGAUCAGCCACAAUGGAACUGAGACACGGUCCAGACUCCUACGGGAGGCAGCAGUGGGGAAUAUUGGACAAUGGGCGCAAGCCUGAUCCAGCCAUACCGCGUGGGUGAAGAAGGCCUUCGGGUUGUAAAGCCCUUUUGUUGGGAAAGAAAAGCAGCAGGUUAAUACCCCGCUGUUCUGACGGUACCCAAAGAAUAAGCACCGGCUAACUUCGUG